GAGUACACCCUCACAGCGCUGCUCGUGGGGCAAGCAUGCCUGGGAGAUGACCUGGGGCACCACGCCCUGCCUAUCUCAGACAAGGAACUCCAGGCAGCAGUGGCGAAGCUAAGCAGCUCCAUCCUUAAGGGGCGGAGGCCGGCUCAUAUUUGCCUAUUAGGGCCGUGGGACGCCGAGGUUCUGCUGGGUCCCUCCUGGAAAUAGAUCCUUCCCAGCCAGCACCCGAAGUCAGCAGCAGAGGGCAAAGCACCUGGGCUUUAUUUAGCUCCAAGCUCCACGAUCCUCCUGCAUAUUGUUCCUGGAAGAGGCAAAAGCCUAGGGCUUCAAGAUGCCGGGGCUUUAAGAAACCAAGGCAUGACCUCAAGUGAUUUGCCGGAGGUGGCCUCGGUGGCAGCAGUCAUUGAAGAAAGGAAGACAGCUGCCCAGCCAGUCUGACAGACCAUACACAGACAGCCCUGUUCACAGGGAGGGUGCAUCUGAGAUCAAUGGCCAAAGAAAAUGGGCUCUGAACAGUGCUUCACUGUCACAUCCAGGAUCUGGAAAGUUGUAUUUGAGUGCUGGGUUUGAUAUACGUUAACUAGAAGAUAAAACAUGCCGACUAUGGCUAGCAGACACAGUGCCCCAUCAUGCCUGAACAAAAAGAUAUUUUAUACCAGAAGUGCGGAACAGGAUUUUUUGCAGUUUUGCUAGAAUCCUUGUCACAGUGCUUAAUAAUGUUACAUCAUUUAGAUAAUAAUUUUUCUAGUUUUCAGUUUACCUAAUAGUACGUGUUCAAUUAUUUUAUGGAGCUUUUUCAAUCAGAACAACAUCGUACCUGUCUUUUCAGUGUAUUAUUCCCAAAUAAAAGUUUAACCUCUUUUCGGAAUCUUA
Long non-coding RNA from Homo sapiens (human), 870 nucleotides. Ensembl annotates it as long intergenic non-protein coding RNA 2057. The record is from Ensembl. Lineage: Eukaryota; Metazoa; Chordata; Mammalia; Primates; Hominidae.